UACGUAGGUGGCAAGCGUUGUCCGGAUUUACUGGGCGUAAAGGAUGCGUAGGCGGAUGUUUAAGUGAGAUGUGAAAUACCCGAGCUCAACUUGGGUGCUGCAUUUCAAACUGGAUAUCUAGAGUGCAGGAGAGGAAAGCGGAAUUCCUAGUGUAGCGGUGAAAUGCGCAGAGAUUAGGAAGAACACCAGUGGCGAAGUCGGCUUUCUGGACUGUAACUGACGCUGAGGCAUGAAAGCGUGGGGAGCAAACAAG
Molecule: ribosomal RNA, 253 nt
Filed under: uncultured bacterium
Lineage: Bacteria
Description: partial 16S ribosomal RNA
Rfam family: Bacterial small subunit ribosomal RNA
Source: RNAcentral